Myotis lucifugus (little brown bat) is the source of this 131-nucleotide small nucleolar RNA. Ensembl annotates it as small nucleolar RNA SNORA5. The record is from Ensembl. Lineage: Eukaryota; Metazoa; Chordata; Mammalia; Chiroptera; Vespertilionidae.
CGCAGCCGUGUGAAAUUCAGUGCCUGCCCACUCAUGGCAGGUACCGGUCCAGGAGGCUGCCAUAGAAACACUGACUCAUGGGCCCUGAUCGCCUCUGCUGGGCCCAGGGAUAAGUUUGGUUACAGAUACAA